This 791-nucleotide ribosomal RNA is filed under the name uncultured bacterium. RNAcentral's name for it is "bacterial SSU rRNA". It matches the Rfam family "Bacterial small subunit ribosomal RNA", at positions 8 to 796 of the family's 1533-position model. The record is from RNAcentral.
AGAGUUUGAUCAUGGCUCAGGAUGAACGCUGGCGGCGUGCCUAAUACAUGCAAGUCGAGCGAGGCCCUUCGGGGCCUAGCGGCGGACGGGUGAGUAACACGUGGGUAACCUGCCUGUAAGACUGGGAUAACUUCGGGAAACCGAAGCUAAUACCGGAUAAUUUCGAGCAUCGCAUGAUGCUUGAUGGAAAGACGGCUUCGGCUGUCGCUUACAGAUGGACCCGCGUCGCAUUAGCUAGUUGGUGAGGUAACGGCUCACCAAGGCGACGAUGCGUAGCCGACCUGAGAGGGUGAUCGGCCACACUGGGACUGAGACACGGCCCAGACUCCUACGGGAGGCAGCAGUAGGGAAUCUUCGGCAAUGGGCGAAAGCCUGACCGAGCAACGCCGCGUGAGCGAUGAAGGCCUUCGGGUCGUAAAGCUCUGUUGUUAAGGAAGAACAAGUACGAGAGUAACUGCUCGUACCUUGACGGUACUUAACGAGAAAGCCACGGCUAACUACGUGCCAGCAGCCGCGGUAAUACGUAGGUGGCGAGCGUUAUCCGGAAUUAUUGGGCGUAAAGCGCGCGCAGGCGGUUUCUUAAGUCUGAUGUGAAAGCCCACGGCUCAACCGUGGAGGGUCAUUGGAAACUGGGAAACUUGAGUACAGAAGAGGAAAGCGGAAUUCCACGUAGCGGUGAAAUGCGUAGAGAUGUGGAGGAACACCAGUGGCGAAGGCGGCUUUCUGGUCUGUAACUGACGCUGAGGCGCGAAAGCGUGGGGAGCAAAAGGGAUUAGAUACCCUAGUAGUCC